RNAcentral lists this long non-coding RNA (687 nucleotides) under Anser brachyrhynchus (Pink-footed goose). RNAcentral's name for it is "lncRNA (ENSABRG00000007655.1)". The record is from RNAcentral. Lineage: Eukaryota; Metazoa; Chordata; Aves; Anseriformes; Anatidae.
AAGCAGGAACAUUACUAUUCGGGGUUGGGGAACACUAAAACUUCAGCACCGGAAAAGACUACAGGAAUUAAGUGUUUUCACUAAUUUUGAUCUUAUGCAGGGGUCUUUGCUGAAGAGCGGACUGUAUGAAAACUGCAAAACCAAGCUCAUUCUGAGCAUCACGAUUUCUUGCUUUAAAACUGAAUUUCAGUUAUCCAAGAGCUGCUAAAUCUGUUUUAAAAGAACUUUUAAGCUUUGAGAGGGCAGGAACAGGAAACUUCAAUCGGAAAGUGUGGAACUGCAGCUACAUGACAACUUGUAGUAUACAAAGUGUUUUCCGGAGAAAAAGAUGAUUCACUCACAGAGGUCAAUGGUGCAGAUUCGCAAGCUGGUUGUGGAAAGCAGGGAUGUUAACACAUAGAGCAAGCUGCCCCCUGGAAAUUGCUGGUUUGCAAGUUCUUAACUCACCUGCUUCAUGAAUUACAUUUUAAGGGCUGAAUGGAAACCACAUGAAGAAAGCAGAUAUAAAUGUCCUUAAUGCAAAUCUGCAAUACUGUUUUUGCUGACUUAUUUUCCCCCUGCUUUCAUGUCCAGCCAGUCAGUCAAGCCUGCUUCAUGUCCCUUACAGACUGCUUGCACUCUGAAGACAUGAAAAUUGAAAACGUUUCAAAGAAUCACAGAAUGGGCAAGGUUGGAAGGGACCUCUGA